This 396-nucleotide ribosomal RNA is filed under the name uncultured bacterium. RNAcentral describes it as "partial 16S ribosomal RNA". It matches the Rfam family "Bacterial small subunit ribosomal RNA", at positions 523 to 918 of the family's 1533-position model. The record is from RNAcentral.
AUACGGAGGGUGCAAGCGUUAAUCGGAAUUACUGGGCGUAAAGCGCACGCAGGCGGUCUGUCAAGUCGGAUGCGAAAUCCCCGGGCUCAACCUGGGAACUGCAUUCGAAACUGGCAGGCUAGAGUCUUGUAGAGGGGGGUAGAAUUCCAGGUGUAGCGGUGAAAUGCGUAGAGAUCUGGAGGAAUACCGGUGGCGAAGGCGGCCCCCUGGACAAAGACUGACGCUCAGGUGCGAAAGCGUGGGGAGCAAACAGGAUUAGAUACCCUGGUAGUCCACGCCGUAAACGAUGUCGACUUGGAGGUUGUGCCCUUGAGGCGUGGCUUCCGGAGCUAACGCGUUAAGUCGACCGCCUGGGGAGUACGGCCGCAAGGUUAAAACUCAAAUGAAUUGGCGGGG